ACGAACGCUGGCGGCUUGCUUAACACAUGCAAGUCGAACGGAAAGGCCCUGCUUUUGUGGGGUGCUCGAGUGGCGAACGGGUGAGUAACACGUGAGUAACCUGCCCUUGACUUUGGGAUAACUUCAGGAAACUGGGGCUAAUACCGGAUAGGAGCUCCUGCUGCAUGGUGGGGGUUGGAAAGUUUCGGCGGUUGGGGAUGGACUCGCGGCUUAUCAGCUUGUUGGUGGGGUAGUGGCUUACCAAGGCUUUGACGGGUAGCCGGCCUGAGAGGGUGACCAGCCACAUUGGGACUGAGAUACGGCCCAGACUCGUACGGGAGGCAGCAGUGGGGAAUAUUGCACAAUGGGCGGAAGCCUGAUGCAGCAACGCCGCGUGCGGGAUGACGGCCUUCGGGUUGUAAACCGCUUUCGCCUGUGACGAAGCGUGAGUGACGGUAAUGGGUAAAGAAGCACCGGCUAACUACGUG
RNAcentral lists this ribosomal RNA (467 nucleotides) under uncultured bacterium. RNAcentral describes it as "partial 16S ribosomal RNA". It matches the Rfam family "Bacterial small subunit ribosomal RNA", at positions 29 to 507 of the family's 1533-position model. The record is from RNAcentral.